GGAGGAACCGCUUUUCCUCCUGGGCCUUCUUUGGGAAGAAAUGUUUGAAUUUGAAGACAUGACCAAGAAAGGUGUUUCCUAAGGAAAAUACAGACCCUCCAUGCUGUCAAAGAAGUGCUCACAGAAUCACAGACUAGGAAGCUGAAAGAAUGAUGGUGCUGGAUACCUGGCAACAGAGAAGUAAGAGGUUCCUGUAGAAGAAGAAAUAAAGCUAAUAGCAAUUUCUUGUGGCAAGUAUUACCACCACAGAAUUAAAAUCGUUAAAACAGCCUUAUUUUGCACAUGGGAAAAUCCUCAUAUAUGCCUCUGUUUCUGUUACAUCACAGUAGGCUUUAUUUAAAUACUAUUUAGUUAGUUAGUUAGUUAGUUAGUUGUUGUUGAGAGGAGUGUGACUAGCAUGCUGUGGUGUUUGGGUGGACUACAAAGAGCAACCCCAGGGAGUCAGUUUUCUCCUUCCACCACAGGUGCCAGGGUCCGAACUGAGGAUGCUACAUUUGGCACCAAGCUCCUUUACCCACUGAGGCAUCUCACCAGUUCCCCACAAACAUAAUCUUUUAAAGCCACACACAGGGAUGAUGAUGAGGUCAGCUUAAUGAGUUUUGAGAUUAGCAAAUUAGCAAAUUUGAAAUUAGCAAAUUCUGCAAAUGUUCCUGUCCCAUCUGAAGCUUUUGUUAUGACUUUCUUGUACAACUGCCUUCACAAACAUGACCCUUUUAUUGAAUGUGAAGUUCAUAUGUUCUCUAUCCUGCUCUGGAAUUUAUAGGAGACAUGUUUCCUAUUUCGUUUAUAUGUAGUAUUGAUAUUUUUUUAAACAGAAAAGUAUCUCAAAAUGAACUGUGUCUCAGUCAGAUUAUUCAUUACAAGUACUGUCUGUUGCCAGAAGUCAGUGAUUACCAUGGUAAAGCUUGUUGCAGGCUUGUCAGAAAUAAUGGCAGCAAGCUACUUGUGAAGGAGUGCUGGAUGGAAAGCCUUGUUUUCCCUUCUCUAUUGUUAGGACCCUGGUCAAGUUCCUGAACUAUUUUUCUUCUCAGUUCUCUUACUGUAAAUGAAGAUGAUAUUAAUCACCUGUCUGAGGAAAACAAGAUAUUAAAUAUCUUCUCUUGGUGGACUGUUUUGUUUAACAUAAGAAACAGAAAAAAACAAAGCUACUUCACUACUUUAUGCUGCCUUCAGAUUCUAGUAUGACAAGCCAAUAGCGAGCACUGUAAGUAAAUUAAUUUAGUACUGUAAUUAAACUUUAGUUUGCUCUAAUUUCACCUCCUCUGUGAACCUUCCCCGAAUUCUCCCUGAACUAAACAAAUGCCUACGUUAUAUGGAGUGCUUCUUUGCCUCUCUCCAGCUUCUAUUAUUGAUCCUAGUUUGCUGUGGUUUUAUUUUUGCAUUUAUUUAUUUUACCUUGUGGCUAUUUUCUAGUCUCUCAUUUAAACUAGUUCAAGAACUACUCACACACUAGUACUUGGUAUUUGUUUUUGCUAUUUGGAAGCCUGAAAUGUCACUCAGUAUAUAGUACAAGCCCAGUGAAGGUUUCACUGGCCAGCUGGGUUUGCAUAUUUGGUUCCCAUAGGCAUGCCGCAUAAAUAGCUCCUGAAUAGCCAUGCCUGCUUGACUUGCUGGUGGCAUGCUCAGUAUUCAUUCCCAGAACGAAAGUAGGUCACAUCUGGGACAUAUGAACAAUUUCAAGACAAGUUUCCUCUGAAAUACAAAGCCCUCAAGUGAACAUAAAAAGUAAUCAAGCUGAUCAUGUCAAAAUUGUAAGCAAUUAAAACUUCAUUAUUAAAUUUUGGUCUUUAUUUCAUUGGUUCAGUUUUGGUCUUUAUUUCAUUGGUUCAUUUUGUCAUACCAGAAAAAUCUACAUUUUAAAAAUCAAAGUAGGAUGACAUUGUAAAA
Peromyscus eremicus (cactus mouse) is the source of this 1887-nucleotide long non-coding RNA. RefSeq lists it as uncharacterized. Lineage: Eukaryota; Metazoa; Chordata; Mammalia; Rodentia; Cricetidae. The record is from RefSeq and is a predicted model, not a curated record. The transcript is spliced from 3 exons.